RNAcentral lists this ribosomal RNA (460 nucleotides) under uncultured bacterium. RNAcentral's name for it is "partial 16S ribosomal RNA". It matches the Rfam family "Bacterial small subunit ribosomal RNA", at positions 338 to 795 of the family's 1533-position model. The record is from RNAcentral.
CCUACGGGUGGCAGCAGUGAGGAAUAUUGGUCAAUGGGCGAGAGCCUGAACCAGCCAAGUCGCGUGAAGGAUGAAGGAUCUAUGGUUUGUAAACUUCUUUUAUGUGGGAAUAAAGUGAGGAACGUGUUCCUUUUUGUAUGUACCAUAUGAAUAAGCAUCGGCUAACUCCGUGCCAGCAGCCGCGGUAAUACGGAGGAUGCGAGCGUUAUCCGGAUUUAUUGGGUUUAAAGGGUGCGCAGGUGGUUAAUUAAGUCAGAGGUGAAAGUUUGUGGCUCAACCAUAAAAGUGCCGUUGAAACUGGUCGACUUGAGUGCAGUAGAGGACAGCGGAAUGCGUUGUGUAGCGGUGGAAUGCAUAGAUAUAACGAAGAACUCCGAUUGCGAAGGCAGCUGUCUGGUCUGUAACUGACGCUGAAGCUCGAAAGCAUGGGUAUCGAACAGGAUUAGAUACCCGGGUAGUC